Molecule: ribosomal RNA, 506 nt
Filed under: Escherichia coli
Lineage: Bacteria; Pseudomonadati; Pseudomonadota; Gammaproteobacteria; Enterobacterales; Enterobacteriaceae
Description: partial 23S ribosomal RNA
Rfam family: Bacterial large subunit ribosomal RNA
Source: RNAcentral
CGUUCUGUAAGCCUGUGAAGGUGUGCUGUGAGGCAUGCUGGAGGUAUCAGAAGUGCGAAUGCUGACAUAAGUAACGAUAAAGCGGGUGAAAAGCCCGCUCGCCGGAAGACCAAGGGUUCCUGUCCAACGUUAAUCGGGGCAGGGUGAGUCGACCCCUAAGGCGAGGCCGAAAGGCGUAGUCGAUGGGAAACAGGUUAAUAUUCCUGUACUUGGUGUUACUGCGAAGGGGGGACGGAGAAGGCUAUGUUGGCCGGGCGACGGUUGUCCCGGUUUAAGCGUGUAGGCUGGUUUUCCAGGCAAAUCCGGAAAAUCAAGGCUGAGGCGUGAUGACGAGGCACUACGGUGCUGAAGCAACAAAUGCCCUGCUUCCAGGAAAAGCCUCUAAGCAUCAGGUAACAUCAAAUCGUACCCCAAACCGACACAGGUGGUCAGGUAGAGAAUACCAAGGCGCUUGAGAGAACUCGGGUGAAGGAACUAGGCAAAAUGGUGCCGUAACUUCGGGAGAA